UACGUAGGGUGCGAGCGUUGUCCGGAAUUACUGGGCGUAAAGAGCUCGUAGGCGGUUUGUCGCGUCUGCUGUGAAAACUGGAGGCUCAACCUCCAGCCUGCAGUGGGUACGGGCAGACUAGAGUGCGGUAGGGGAGAUUGGAAUUCCUGGUGUAGCGGUGGAAUGCGCAGAUAUCAGGAGGAACACCGAUGGCGAAGGCAGAUCUCUGGGCCGUAACUGACGCUGAGGAGCGAAAGCGUGGGGAGCGAACAGG
This 253-nucleotide ribosomal RNA is filed under the name uncultured bacterium. Its description in RNAcentral is "partial 16S ribosomal RNA". It matches the Rfam family "Bacterial small subunit ribosomal RNA", at positions 524 to 776 of the family's 1533-position model. The record is from RNAcentral.